RNAcentral lists this ribosomal RNA (225 nucleotides) under uncultured bacterium. RNAcentral's name for it is "partial 16S ribosomal RNA". It matches the Rfam family "Bacterial small subunit ribosomal RNA", at positions 16 to 233 of the family's 1533-position model. The record is from RNAcentral.
GGUCUGGCUCAGGAUAAACGCUGGCGGCGUGCCUAACACAUGCAAGUUGAACGGAGUGCGAGAGAGCUUGCUUUUUUGCACUUAGUGGCGGACGGGUGAGUAAUGUAUGAGCAACCUGCCCUUCAGAGGGGGACGAACAGUUGGAAACGACUGCUAAUACCGCAUGACGCGCGCAGUUCGCAUGGACAGCGCAUCAAAGGAGGAAUCCGCUGAAGGAUGGGCUCA